AACCCUUGUCCUUAGUUACCAGCACGUUAUGGUGGGCACUCUAAGGAGACUGCCGGUGACAAACCCGGGAGGGAAAGGUGGGGAUGACGUCAAGUCAUCAUGGCCCUUACGGCCUGGGCUACACACGUGCUACAAUGGUCGGUACAAAGGGUUGCCAAGCCGCGAGGUGGAGCUAAUCCCAUAAAACCGAUCGUAGUCCGGAUCGCAGUCUGCAACUCGACUGCGUGAAGUCGGAAUCGCUAGUAAUCGUGAAUCAGAAUGUCACGGUGAAUACGUUCCCGGGCCUU
RNAcentral lists this ribosomal RNA (287 nucleotides) under uncultured Pseudomonas sp. RNAcentral's name for it is "partial 16S ribosomal RNA". It matches the Rfam family "Bacterial small subunit ribosomal RNA", at positions 1100 to 1382 of the family's 1533-position model. Lineage: Bacteria; Pseudomonadati; Pseudomonadota; Gammaproteobacteria; Pseudomonadales; Pseudomonadaceae. The record is from RNAcentral.